UGCAGUCGAACGAGCUUCCGUUGAAUGACGUGCUUGCACUGAUUUCAACAAUGAAGCGAGUGGCGAACUGGUGAGUAACACGUGGGGAAUCUGCCCAGAAGCAGGGGAUAACACUUGGAAACAGGUGCUAAUACCGUAUAACAACAAAAUCCGCAUGGAUUUUGUUUGAAAGGUGGCUUCGGCUAUCACUUCUGGAUGAUCCCGCGGCGUAUUAGUUAGUUGGUGAGGUAAAGGCCCACCAAGACGAUGAUACGUAGCCGACCUGAGAGGGUAAUCGGCCACAUUGGGACUGAGACACGGCCCAAACUCCUACGGGAGGCAGCAGUAGGGAAUCUUCCACAAUGGACGAAAGUCUGAUGGAGCAAUGCCGCGUGAGUGAAGAAGGGUUUCGGCUCGUAAAACUCUGUUGUUAAAGAAGAACACCUUUGAGAGUAACUGUUCAAGGGUUGACGGUAUUUAACCAGAAAGCCACGGCUAACUACGUGCCAGCAGCCGCGGUAAUACGUAGGUGGCAAGCGUUGUCCGGAUUUAUUGGGCGUAAAGCGAGCGCAGGCGGUUUUUUAAGUCUGAUGUGAAAGCCUUCGGCUUAACCGGAGAAGUGCAUCGGAAACUGAGAGACUUGAGUGCAGAAGAGGACAGUGGAACUCCAUGUGUAGCGGUGGAAUGCGUAGAUAUAUGGAAGAACACCAGUGGCGAAAGGCGGCUGUCUAGUCUGUAACUGACGCUGAGGCUCGAAAGCAUGGGUAGCGAACAGGAUUAGAUACCCUGGUAGUCCAUGCCGUAACGAUGAGUGCUAAGUGUUGAGGGUUUCCGCCCUUCAGUGCUGCAGCUAACGCAUUAAGCACUC
Molecule: ribosomal RNA, 847 nt
Filed under: Levilactobacillus brevis
Lineage: Bacteria; Bacillati; Bacillota; Bacilli; Lactobacillales; Lactobacillaceae
Description: bacterial SSU rRNA
Rfam family: Bacterial small subunit ribosomal RNA
Source: RNAcentral